GAUGAAGACGCAGCGAAAUGCGAUAAGUAAUGUGAAUUGCAGAAUUCAGUGAAUCAUCGAAUCUUUGAACGCACAUUGCGCCCUCUGGUAUUCCGGGGGGCAUGCCUGUUCGAGCGUCAUUAUAACCACUCAAGCUCUCGCUUGGUAUUGGGGUUCGCGGUUCCGCGGCCCCUAAAAUCAGUGGCGGUGCCUGUCGGCUCUACGCGUAGUAAUACUCCUCGCGAUUGAGUCCGGUAGGUCUACUUGCCAGCAACCCCCAAUUUUUACAGGUUGACCUCGGAUCAGGUAGGGAUACCCGUUGAACUUAAGCAUAUCAAUAAGCGGAGA
This 327-nucleotide unclassified non-coding RNA is filed under the name soil metagenome. RNAcentral's name for it is "partial contains 5.8S ribosomal RNA, internal transcribed spacer 2, and large subunit ribosomal RNA". The stretch from base 1 to 119 matches the Rfam family "5.8S ribosomal RNA", at positions 35 to 154 of the family's 154-position model. The record is from RNAcentral.